UUUUUUCUGGAUUUAUCAAAAACAAAAUCACGUUUAUCCAUCCCAAACAGACCUUUGUUGGAUUGCAAUCCGAUCCGAUCCGUUUUAAGCCCUUGUCUUUACUCUUUAAUUUUUAUAGGUUUAUUUUACUCAUUUAAGUCCGGCAUGGCUUAAAAAAUUUAGAACGGCCAUUCAAGAUAAAUUUUUAGAGUACUGGGGAUUUUCAUCAGGAAUCGGCUGAGAUGCUAAGGAAAACUGCUAUUGUAAGUGGUGGUUUAAUGGUGAUCAUCUCUUCCCUGUACUGGACAUGGACGUUGUAAAGCUCACCUUUGAGAUUGUACGAUCUUGUUCUCAAUCGUUAUCUUCCAACUGAUCUACUUGAUUAACAGCAACCCGUGAACGCUGAUGGAAUAGGUUAUCACUGCACGGUAGGGACAUGGACAUGGCCAAACAAAACUUCCGACUCGUCAAAGGGCAAGCCACUGGACGUCGUGGAUGACUAACCAGAAAAUCUGAUGGACUUCAGUCCUUAAUUCAAUUAAAUUGAUCCCUGGAUCGACCCAUCAAUUGUAAUACCAGAGUUUUUUUCUCUUUAUCAAGAAAUUUGAAUUGAGAGGGUUUUUGGUUAUUAGAGCAACUACCUAGACUAUGUUCCUAGGAAGCGAAAUAGUGAUGCAAUCCAUCAUUCGAUGAUGAUUCGGAUCGAUGCCAGCGUGACUUUUUGCCCACUUGUUUAGUUAUUGCUUCUGGACCUUCGACACACAUCAGAUCUACGACAGUCUACUUGGACAUCUAAAGAGAUUUUGUUCAGCAAGGGGAGGAAUGAAAAUCGCCAGAGGAUUUAAGUACUGACUAAAUUUCGAGUUUCUAUUUGCAUUUCAGUAUCUCUUUCUUUAUUUACUCUUACUAAACUUUUAGCUAUACGAGUUUUGUUUAAAUCAGUUUAUGUGGGAGUGGUAGAUAAAGAAAAUUAGAUGAUACUAAAGGGUUUUUUUGUCUUUUUAUAUUUUGGACUGAAUUGACAGUUUUUGAAAGUUUGGGGAUUGUAAUGACACUUUUUAAAGUUCUGGUACUAAAUUGAGACUAUC
Molecule: long non-coding RNA, 1067 nt
Organism: Nelumbo nucifera (sacred lotus)
Lineage: Eukaryota; Viridiplantae; Streptophyta; Magnoliopsida; Proteales; Nelumbonaceae
Source: RefSeq, a predicted model, not a curated record